This 776-nucleotide ribosomal RNA is filed under the name uncultured Neocallimastigales. RNAcentral's name for it is "partial large subunit ribosomal RNA". It matches the Rfam family "Eukaryotic large subunit ribosomal RNA", at positions 22 to 647 of the family's 3401-position model. Lineage: Eukaryota; Fungi; Neocallimastigomycota; Neocallimastigomycetes; Neocallimastigales. The record is from RNAcentral.
UACACGCAUGACACACUGCAUAUCAAUAAGCGGAGGAAAAGAAACUAACAAGGAUUCCCUUAGUAACGGCGAGUGAAGCGGGAAGAGCUCAAAUUUGAAAUCUUCAAGGUUCUACCUUGACGAAUUGUAGUUUAUAGAAGUGUUUUCUGUUAGUAGAGUGGCAAAAGUUCUUUGGAAUAGGACAUCAUAGAGGGUGAGAAUCCCGUAUUUGGUCAUUCUUUCUAGCUUUGUGAUACACUUUCAACGAGUCGGAUUGUUUGGGAAUGCAGUCCAAAAUGGGUGGUAAAUUUCAUCUAAAGCUAAAUAUUGGCGAGAGACCGAUAGCGAACAAGUACCGUGAGGGAAAGAUGAAAAGAACUUUGAAAAGAGAGUUAAACAGUACGUGAAAUUGUCAAAAGGGAAGCGUUUGACACCAGUGUUGUUUUUCCGAAAAUCAAUUACGAAUGUUUUAGUUUUUGAGGAGUUAUGACUUCAUCGGCUUGCUUCUUUCUUUACGAAACUUUCUUAAUGCACUUUUCGGUUAACAAGUCAACAUCAAUUUCUUUUGUUGUAAAAGGGUAUGAGGAAGGUGGCUUUCUUUUCGGAGAAAGUGUUUAUAGCCUUGUACCUCUGCAAUCGGAGAGAUUGAGGUCUGCAGCGUAGAUCCUUCGGGAUUAGAUACAUUUGUGCUAAGUUAUAGCUUUUCAUAGACAACUUGUUGACUAUGUUUAGUCUUGUAGCUUACUCGCUUAUGCUAUUUUACCUACGCUUAGGAUGUUGACGCAUGAGAUAUACGC